This 203-nucleotide unclassified non-coding RNA is filed under the name Hevea brasiliensis (rubber tree). The record is from RNAcentral. Lineage: Eukaryota; Viridiplantae; Streptophyta; Magnoliopsida; Malpighiales; Euphorbiaceae.
AGACUUCGCAGCUCGAGCUGCUUCUGCGAACUUCCUCUCGCGCUUUCUCCUGCCACCCCUACUACGCUUUUUGCUUCCUCCCAAGCUAUUUUCUCCAUUCUUGGUAGAUGCAAGAGCAUGAUCAAGUGACUGCUUUCGAGGGAGAACUUUAGCCGAGACGGGAUCGGUGAUGCCUUGACCCGAUAUGCCUAAUCCCAUGCCUU